AUUUCCCCUGCUGUAUCAACAUGGAGUCUCCGGUCCUGGUCAACUCCUAUACUGAAAAGAAAGAAGAAAUCUUUGACACAGAAACUGGAUAUAAUACCAAAGAAAAAAGUAUCGACAGAUUCUUCUGUUGGGUCUAUAGACAAGGUCGAUUCCGAAGGCAGAAGUUUGCUUUUCUAUGCUGCUACUUUCGGAACAGUAGAAGUUGCUGAUCAGCUCCUUAAAUCAGGUUGUGAUCCGAAUGUACAGGAUGUGAACGGUGAUACUGCACUUCACGAGGCUGUAUUAAAUGGACAUCUAAAACUCAUUCGGCUAUUACUCAAAAAAGCUGUAAAUAUGGACGUAAACGUCAAGAAUGGACAAGGAGAGACACCUUUAAUGAUUGCUGUCCAUCAGGACCAGAUCGACGUGGUCAAACAUCUACACAAAACAGGAGCAAAUAUUCAUGACACUGACCACAUGGGCCGAAGUGCUUUACUGAUAGCAUCCGAACAAGGAUCGGAGAAAUGUUGUCAAUAUUUGAUGAAACAUGGUGUGGACAUUCAAAUGAGGGAUAACUUGGGUCAUUCAGUUUUAUUUUAUGCCUUACACAGCAGGACGCUAUCGGUUCAACUUAUUAAACAAAUUAUAAAAUCAGGAUAUGAUGUAAGCUUGGAUGCGGAUUGGGUAAUUAGUGAAAACCAUUCAGAAAACAGCUUGGGGAAAUUGGAUCCAAAACUGUGUCAGACCAUACUAGACAAAAUAGGAGUGCCUCAUUUUGAAAGAGACUGCUACUGUAGACGUCCUAGUAUCGGUAACGUCAUUCUGACACGAAUCUCUACGCUUCUCGUGGCACCAAACUAGUAAAGUCUAACGUCUACGUGAAGGAGCCACACAGCAAAAUCCGACUUUGUCUUUUUAACUCAAUCGGCAAAUGUUGCGUUUAACGGAAUAGAUCGAGGUGUUAUGGUUGGAUGUAUAAUCAAAAUUUAUACUUUGAAAGACAAGUAUUGAAAAGAACAGUGUAGUUCGACGAUUUCUAAUUUACACAAUACUUUGUGUGAACAUCGAAAUAGAAAACUUUAAUUCUAUGAGGAAAUUAUCGGAUUAUGAUAUGUAUAAAAUAAAGUAUAAAAACUUGUGAAGAUUGUAUAUAUUGUAUAUAUUGAUGUUAUAACUAGCAGUGAUGUCGACAACCAAACUGCAGUUAUUUGCAUAACCGCAUGGUAGGACAUCCGUAGGAUUGGUGCUUAUUAAAAUCACAUGAUAGGAUAUAUACAGGACCGAUGCUUGUAAGAAGAUGUAAAAAACACUGAUGUUAUUUGUGAUCCACGAAAUCCAGCUUGUUUAAGACAUUGAUUGGACUUAAUUUUUGAUAUUCCAUUGGUACAUGUAUCUUCUAUCUUUUUUAAAUCUAUAUGAAUAUGCUUAUAUGUAACAUAUAUAUAAUAAUUUCGUAACACUUUAUACAAUACAUAAUUAAAAAUGAAUCUUUGAUGUAUUAAUGGUCGCUAUACGAAGUAAAACCUGUUUUAACAUUGAAAUAUGGAUCGCACAAUGUAUAUACAUGUGUACAAUACAUAUGCACGUUGUCAGAAAAAAUAAAACUUAUUAGUAUGGGCUUUUGAAGCAGGACUUUUCUUCUGUAU
Molecule: long non-coding RNA, 1625 nt
Organism: Mytilus californianus (California mussel)
Lineage: Eukaryota; Metazoa; Mollusca; Bivalvia; Mytilida; Mytilidae
Exons: 4
Source: RefSeq, a predicted model, not a curated record